AACGAACGCUGGCGGCAUGCCUAACACAUGCAAGUCGAACGAGACCUUCGGGUCUAGUGGCGCACGGGUGCGUAACGCGUGGGAACCUGCCCUUAGGUUCGGAAUAACUCCCCGAAAGGGGUGCUAAUACCGGAUAAUGUCUUCGGACCAAAGAUUUAUCGCCUUUGGAUGGGCCCGCGUUGGAUUAGCUAGUUGGUAGGGUAAAAGCCUACCAAGGCGACGAUCCAUAGCUGGUCUGAGAGGAUGAUCAGCCACACUGGGACUGAGACACGGCCCAGACUACUACGGGAGGCAGCAGUGGGGAAUAUUGGACAAUGGGCGAAAGCCUGAUCCAGCAAGGCCGCGUGAGUGAUGAAGGCCUUAGGGUUGUAAAGCUCUUUUACCCGGGAUGAUAAUGACAGUACCGGGAGAAUAAGCUCCGGCUAACUCCGUG
This 433-nucleotide ribosomal RNA is filed under the name uncultured bacterium. RNAcentral's name for it is "partial 16S ribosomal RNA". It matches the Rfam family "Bacterial small subunit ribosomal RNA", at positions 29 to 507 of the family's 1533-position model. The record is from RNAcentral.